GUUCCCCUUUGUCCAACGCAAGUCAACUAAGUCACUUUCUCCAUUAACGAGAAGCCCCAAACCGUCUCAAAUCUCCAUUAACGCGAAGGAUGGACAACCCCCUCCCGCGGCCGCGCAGGCCCGUCGUCCUGAUCGCCUCCUGCGCGCUGAUCCUCCUCGCCACCGCCCUCCUCCUCCCGCGCGCUCCCGCCGUCCCGCCGCUGACCCCGGCCAUUCGCCUCGACCCGCGGGUCGCGCGCAGGAGCGGCAACGAGGUGCUGUGGCAGCUCCCCCCAGGCCCGCCGCGCGCCGCCAUGUUCAUCGCCCCCGGAUGCACCAUCCGCGCCACCGACUUCUUCGACGCCUCCCCCGGCUGCCCGCGCUGCGCGGGGCUCCCCGAGGAGCGCCGGUUCACGCGCGAGGCGCUCCGCCGAGGCUACGCCGUCCUCGCCGUCUCCAGCCGCGCCGAGUGCUGGUCCCUCGACCCCGCCUCCGCCUCCGGCGACGGCAGCGAGCUCGCCGCCGUCAGUUCCAUCAUCGAAUGGUGGGUCAAGGAGCAGCACCCCGAGCUCGGCGGCCUCCCGCUCGUCGGCAUCGGCGCGUCGUCGGGCGGGUACUUCGUCUCCGCUCUGGCGGCGAGGGUCAGGUUCAGCAGCGUGGCCAUCGUGAUUGCCGAGGGCGUGUUCGCCGCCAUGGAGGAAAUCCCGCCCGGCUACCCGCCGGCGCUGUUCGUGCACAUGCCCAGGGACGCCAAAAGGGCGCAGAUGGUGGCGGCAAGCAUAGGCAAGCUCAAGUCAACGCACGUUGAUGUGCGGGAGAUCCAGUGCGAUGCCUUUGCCGUGAGUGCCGACUUCUUGGCGGCGAGGAUACCGGGGUUGACCCCGACCGUCGCCGAUGGCCUUGUGGACGUGCUUCGCCAGAAGUCGUUCUUGGAUGAGAAGGGGUUUCUGAAGAACGAUGGGAGGAGCACACCGUGGAAAGAGGCGGCGGAGGAAGCCAAGAUCUUGCCGGAGGGGUUCCGGCUGGAGAGGCAUGUCACGGAGGAGUUGAAUAUUGCAUAUGCAUACCAUGAAUUUACCAGCCUGCAGAAUGAGGAGAUCUUCAAAUGGUUCGAUUCCCACAUGGAUCACAAGAUUUGAAGACACAUCAUUUCUAGAUGGCCAACUUGAUGUCGGAUUCAUGGAGAGUUGCUGGUUUUGAGAGGAUGCACCGUUAUGAUUCAUGGGAGGUGGAAAGAAAGCACAAUAUUCUUAGGGAUGCAGGUGGACGUCCCUGCCGUUUCCGUGUCUGUCCGCGCCGGACCAAGAUGUAUGUACUAAUCUCUGUUGCUGUAAUAUUCGUGCUAAUGCUGAAAUGAUUAACGCGGACCUAUUAGUCAGUCACUAGAAAAAUUGAUAGUCAAUUUUGUUACGACUAUUUGGUGUUCAAACUUCAAAGUAGUGCAUCCGGAGAUAUGAUCAUUGCAGUUUUUUCUUUUAUAUGUAGUUAUUACUCUGUUACUUGCAGUGUUAUCUUGUAUGUAAGUGGAUAGUGUCAAUUCAUUGAUAAACAAUCAGUCAGCAGUUGAGCACCGACAUCUGCAAAAAAAUGUUUGAAAUCACUUAUCGGUAGCUAUGUGCAUCUACAGCAAUAAACAACAAAAAAGAAUGCUAUUACUAAAUUCGUCCAUUUAACUGGACAUUCAGAUAUUAUUAAUUACCUCUCACCCAACCUUACCUUUACCCAAGUAAUGAUCUUUGUUUCUUCCAGAAGCUCUUGAUUUUGUUCCCAAUUCAUUUUUACACACCUUUUAUCAUAUUUAUUCUUACAUAUUUGUCCUUAUGCACGAUUCCAUGUGUACUGGGAUGGGGAUAGAGGAUGUGGAUUGAGCUAUUCGAGAGCAAUUCCUCUUAGGUAGUCUUUGCCCCUACAGUUGUUAUAAGUGCUUGCAUUGAAAGGUGCUUCGGUGAAAGAAGAGAAACUGAUCAUCCAUCUUUUUAACACGAGGGCUACUCUUUUGCAGGGAAAUCCGCUUUGUAACACUGAAAAUGUGUCAAUUAGAAAAAUAUCCCAGUGUGAGGAUGAUUAGUGAUGCAAUGGUGUUUUUUUGUUAGCAUUCAUAUUCAUUUUAGUGUUUGCUAGCAAUUUCGACAGAUGCAGAUUAACUUCUUUUCCCAUUAAAACGGCCAUGAUACUGUCGAGUUACUGACAUAGUACAUGUUCUAUGUCUAGAAUCAACAGGUUAAAUCCUGUGAAGAAGAUAAGCAGGGCUGAAGUUUUUCCUCCAGGAGAUUGACUCUUUUGGAGAAGUACUGAAGGGAAAGCUUCAACUCAUCUUGGAAGUUCUUGGGUUUAUGUGGUAUCAAACACCAAUCCCUUGUUUUAUGUGAACAUUGUGAAGUUUUGUGUACCGACUAGUUGUUUGAUGAGUUAUCCAAAUUUCUGAAUGAUUACACUUGUUUCUCUGACCAUUGGCAACAUGUGCUUUCGUCAUAGGAUUUUUGGGGUUCAACAGUAAGAUUCAAAGGUUGAACUAUGAAAUUUAGGAUAUCAGGGAAAAAGAUGGUUUUGUUACAGGAUUUUCUGGGAUUCAAGAACAAGGUUCAUAGGUCCUUUAACUAUGCAAUCGAAGAAUAACUAACUUUGUGGCAUUUGCUAGACUGCUUUGUCAAUUUGCCAAACCUUUGCUAGUCAAGUUUGGCCAUUCCAUUGCAGUUUUGUUAUGCCAUAGUUUCUUGCUAUGUAGCACACCUGUCGUAGACCCAAUGUUUUGCAAAACUUGCCUAUGGUGUGGCGAACAGUUUGUUAGCAACAUGAAGUGUUUGCUUGCCACAUUUUGCCACAAGGCCACAAGUAGGUGUGGUGAUAUUUAGAGUAUACAACCAAACUGCUCUAAACAGCUGACAUUUAUAAACUUCUUAUGUUGUAAACUGAGUAGCACUAGUCUGGUGUUUGAU
Molecule: RNA transcript, 2915 nt
Organism: Triticum aestivum (bread wheat)
Lineage: Eukaryota; Viridiplantae; Streptophyta; Magnoliopsida; Poales; Poaceae
Exons: 3
Source: RefSeq, a predicted model, not a curated record